UACGUAGGGGGCAAGCGUUGUCCGGAAUCAUUGGGCGUAAAGCGCGCGUAGGCGGCCCGGUAAGUCCGUUGUGAAAGUCAAAGGCUCAACCUUUGAACGCCGAUGGAUACUGCCGGGCUAGAGUCCGGAAGAGGCGAGUGGAAUUCCUGGUGUAGCGGUGAAAUGCUUAGAUAUGACAUAGAACACCAAUUGCGAAGGCAGCUGGCUACGCAUAUAUUGACACUGAGGCACGAAAGCGUGGGGAUCAAACAGG
This 253-nucleotide ribosomal RNA is filed under the name uncultured bacterium. RNAcentral describes it as "partial 16S ribosomal RNA". It matches the Rfam family "Bacterial small subunit ribosomal RNA", at positions 524 to 776 of the family's 1533-position model. The record is from RNAcentral.